RNAcentral lists this ribosomal RNA (427 nucleotides) under uncultured bacterium. Its description in RNAcentral is "partial 16S ribosomal RNA". It matches the Rfam family "Bacterial small subunit ribosomal RNA", at positions 355 to 774 of the family's 1533-position model. The record is from RNAcentral.
UGGGGAAUAUUGCACAAUGGGCGCAAGCCUGAUGCAGCCAUGCCGCGUGUAUGAAGAAGGCCUUCGGGUUGUAAAGUACUUUCAGCGAGGAGGAAGGCGUUGUGGUUAAUAACCGCAACGAUUGACGUUACUCGCAGAAGAAGCACCGGCUAACUCCGUGCCAGCAGCCGCGGUAAUACGGAGGGUGCAAGCGUUAAUCGGAAUUACUGGGCGUAAAGCGCACGCAGGCGGUCUGUCAAGUCGGAUGUGAAAUCCCCGGGCUCAACCUGGGAACUGCAUCCGAAACUGGCAGGCUAGAGUCUUGUAGAGGGGGGUAGAAUUCCAGGUGUAGCGGUGAAAUGCGUAGAGAUCUGGAGGAAUACCGGUGGCGAAGGCGGCCCCCUGGACAAAGACUGACGCUCAGGUGCGAAAGUGUGGGGAGCAAACA